UAGAUAUAACCCACAACAUGAAGAGAACUGAGGAGCAGGAAUCAGUGGAUGGUGGGAGAAGGAAGGUGGGACUCAGGGGUUGCCGCUGGCACUGUUGACCCCAAGAACACGGUGGCUGCAAUACCACAGCAUUUGGUCAGACAACUGGGAACAUCUGCCUGCAUGCUGGGACAUGCAGGACCCACUGCCACCUCAACUGACUCCUGACGCCCGUGAAGCUGGAGAUUGGACGUCGGUGGCCCCAUGGCCUUGCUUUCCAACAGAAAACACACAAAACCUGUAGGAACUUGGCUUCUGUCUCACUUUUGCCUUCCAAACUCUGUGCUGCUAUGUCUAACUAGGAUGGCCUGACGGACACUCAUGACCCUCAUGGUAAGAGAGUCUGGGAAAUGUAGUUUGUUUUUUUUUUUUUAGCUUCCUUUACUCCAUGCACCUACAGGC
Long non-coding RNA from Bos taurus (domestic cattle), 441 nucleotides. Lineage: Eukaryota; Metazoa; Chordata; Mammalia; Artiodactyla; Bovidae. The record is from Ensembl.